GAUGAACGCUGGCGGCGUGCCUAAUACAUGCAAGUCGAGCGAACAGACGAGGAGCUUGCUCCUCUGACGUUAGCGGCGGACGGGUGAGUAACACGUGGAUAACCUACCUAUAAGACUGGGAUAACUUCGGGAAACCGGAGCUAAUACCGGAUAAUAUAUUGAACCGCAUGGUUCAAUAGUGAAAGACGGUUUUGCUGUCACUUAUAGAUGGAUCCGCGCCGCAUUAGCUAGUUGGUAAGGUAACGGCUUACCAAGGCAACGAUGCGUAGCCGACCUGAGAGGGUGAUCGGCCACACUGGAACUGAGACACGGUCCAGACUCCUACGGGAGGCAGCAGUAGGGAAUCUUCCGCAAAGGGCGAAAGCUUGACGGAGCAACGCCGCGUGAGUGAUGAAGGUCUUCGGAUCGUAAAACUCUGUUAUUAGAGAAGAACAAAUGUGUAAGUAACUAUGCACGUCUUGACGGUACCUAAUCAGAAAGCCACGGCUAACUACGUG
This 497-nucleotide ribosomal RNA is filed under the name uncultured bacterium. Its description in RNAcentral is "partial 16S ribosomal RNA". It matches the Rfam family "Bacterial small subunit ribosomal RNA", at positions 28 to 507 of the family's 1533-position model. The record is from RNAcentral.